UACGGGGGGAGCAAACGGUUGUUCGGAAUUACUGGGCGUAAAGGGCGCGUAGGCGGGAUUGCAAGUCGGUCGUGAAAUCCCUCGGCUCAACCGAGGAACGUCGAUCGAUACUGCUGUUCUUGAGGAUUGCAGAGGAGACGUGGAAUUCCCGGAUGUAGCGGUGGAAAUGACGUAGAUAUCGGGAGGAACACCUGUGGCGAAGGCGGCCCCCUGGUUGGAUACUGACGCUGAUACGCGAAAGCGUGGGGAGCAAACAGG
RNAcentral lists this ribosomal RNA (258 nucleotides) under uncultured bacterium. Its description in RNAcentral is "partial 16S ribosomal RNA". It matches the Rfam family "Bacterial small subunit ribosomal RNA", at positions 524 to 776 of the family's 1533-position model. The record is from RNAcentral.